Molecule: ribosomal RNA, 254 nt
Filed under: uncultured bacterium
Lineage: Bacteria
Description: partial 16S ribosomal RNA
Rfam family: Bacterial small subunit ribosomal RNA
Source: RNAcentral
UACGUAGGGGGCUAGCGUUGUCCGGAAUCAUUGGGCGUAAAGAGCGUGUAGGCGGUCCGGUAAGUCCGCUGUGAAAGUCGGGGGCUCAACCCUCGAAUGCCGGUGGAUACUGUCGGGCUAGAGUGCGGAAGAGGCGAGUGGAAUUCCUGGUGUAGCGGUGAAAUGCGCAGAUAUCAGGAGGAACACCAUUAUGCGAAGGCAGCUCGCUGGGACGUAACUGACGCUGAGACGCGAAAGCGUGGGGAGCAAACAGG